AGGGAAUUUUGCACAAUGGGCGCAAGCCUGAUGCAGCAAUACCGCGUGAGUGAAGAAGGCCCUUGGGUUGUAAAGCUCUUUCGGCCAAGAAGAAGGGUCCAUCUGCGAACAGUUGGUGGAGCUGACGGUACUGGAAGAAGAAGCACCUGCUAACUACGUGCCAGCAGCAGCGGUAAUACGUAGGGUGCAAGCGUUGUUCGGAAUUACUGGGCGUAAGGCGCGCGUAGGCGGGUCUGAAAGUCGAUUGUGAAAUCCCUGGGCUUAACCUGGGAAUGGCAGUCGAAACUUCAGAUCUUGAAUGUCUGAGAGGAUGGCGGAAUUCCCGGUGUAGUAGUGAAAUACGUAGAUAUCGGGAAGAACACCUGAGGCGAAGGCGGCUAUCUGGCGGCACAUUGACGCUAAGGCGCGAAAGCGUGGGGAGCAAAC
RNAcentral lists this ribosomal RNA (426 nucleotides) under uncultured bacterium. Its description in RNAcentral is "bacterial SSU rRNA". It matches the Rfam family "Bacterial small subunit ribosomal RNA", at positions 356 to 773 of the family's 1533-position model. The record is from RNAcentral.